CCUACGGGAGGCAGCAGUGGGGAAUAUUGGACAAUGGGGGGAACCCUGAUCCAGCGACGCCGCGUGAGUGAAGAAGUAUUUCGGUAUGUAAAGCUCUAUCAGCAGGGAAGAAAAUGACGGUACCUGACUAAGAAGCCCCGGCUAACUACGUGCCAGUAGCCGCGGUAAUACGUAGGGGGCAAGCGUUAUCCGGAUUUACUGGGUGUAAAGGGAGCGUAGACGGUGCAGCAAGUCUGAUGUGAAAGGUCGGGGCCCAACCCCGGGACUGCAUUGGAAACUGUUUAACUGGAGUGCAGGAGAGGUAAGCGGAAUUCCUAGUGUAGCGGUGAAAUGCGUAGAUAUUAGGAGGAACACCAGUGGCGAAGGCGGCUUACUGGACUGUAACUGACGUUGAGGCUCGAAAGCGUGGGGAGCAAACAGGAUUAGAUACCCGGGUAGUC
This 440-nucleotide ribosomal RNA is filed under the name uncultured bacterium. RNAcentral's name for it is "partial 16S ribosomal RNA". It matches the Rfam family "Bacterial small subunit ribosomal RNA", at positions 338 to 795 of the family's 1533-position model. The record is from RNAcentral.